GAUGAACGCUAGCGGCAGGCCUAAUACAUGCAAGUCGGACGGGAUCCAUUGAUAGCUUGCUAUCAAUGGUGAGAGUGGCGCACGGGUGCGUAACGCGUGAGCAACCUGCCUCCAUCAGGGGGAUAGCCUCUCGAAAGAGAGAUUAACACCGCAUAAUAUCAACAGUUCGCAUGUUCAGUUGAUUAAAUAUUUAUAGGAUGGAGAUGGGCUCGCGUGACAUUAGCUAGUUGGUAGGGUAACGGCUUACCAAGGCGACGAUGUCUAGGGGCUCUGAGAGGAGAAUCCCCCACACUGGUACUGAGACACGGACCAGACUCCUACGGGAGGCAGCAGUAAGGAAUAUUGGUCAAUGGGCGGAAGCCUGAACCAGCCAUGCCGCGUGCAGGAUGACUGCCCUAGGGGUUGUAAACUGCUUUUGGCCAGGAAUAAACCUAAAUACGAGUAUUUAGCUGAAGGUACUGGAAGAAUAAGGAUCGGCUAACUCCGUG
Molecule: ribosomal RNA, 488 nt
Filed under: uncultured bacterium
Lineage: Bacteria
Description: partial 16S ribosomal RNA
Rfam family: Bacterial small subunit ribosomal RNA
Source: RNAcentral